RNAcentral lists this ribosomal RNA (443 nucleotides) under uncultured bacterium. RNAcentral's name for it is "bacterial SSU rRNA". It matches the Rfam family "Bacterial small subunit ribosomal RNA", at positions 338 to 795 of the family's 1533-position model. The record is from RNAcentral.
CCUACGGGGGGCAGCAGUGGGGAAUAUUGCACAAUGGGGGAAACCCUGAUGCAGCGACGCCGCGUGAAGGAAGAAGGUUUUCGGUUCGUAAACUUUAACUAGCUGGGAAUAAGCAAUUGAAUUUACCCGAUAAACAAUCCCCGGCUAAUUACAGGCCAGCAGCGGCGGCAUUACGCGGGGGGCAGGCGUAACCCGGAUCAACUGGGUGUAACGGAUGUGCAGGCGGUAGAGCAAGUCAGAUGUGAAAGCCCGGGGCUCAACCCCGGGAUUGCAUUUGAAACUGUCUUACUAGAGUGCAGGAGAGGAAAGCGGAAUUCCUAGUGUAGCGGUGAAAUGCGUAGAUAUUAGGAAGAACACCAGGGGCGAAGGCGGCUUUCUGGACUGUAACUGACGCUGAGGCACGAAAGCGUGGGGAGCGAACAGGAUUAGAUACACGUGUAGUC